AACGAACGCUGGCGGCAUGCCUAACACAUGCAAGUCGAACGAGACCUUCGGGUCUAGUGGCGCACGGGUGCGUAACGCGUGGGAACCUGCCCUUAGGUUCGGAAUAACUCCCCGAAAGGGGUGCUAAUACCGGAUAAUGUCUUCGGACCAAAGAUUUAUCGCCUUUGGAUGGGCCCGCGUUGGAUUAGCUAGUUGGUAGGGUAAAAGCCUACCAAGGCGACGAUCCAUAGCUGGUCUGAGAGGAGGAUCAGCCACACUGGGACUGAGACACGGCCCAGACUCCUACGGGAGGGAGAAGUGGGGAAUAUUGGACAAUGGGAGAAAGCCUGAUCAAGCAAUGCCGGGUGAGUGAUGAAGGCAUUAGGGUUGUAAAGCUCUUUUAACCGGGAUGAUAAUGACGGUACAGGGAGAAUAAGCUCCGGCUAACUCCGUG
Molecule: ribosomal RNA, 433 nt
Filed under: uncultured bacterium
Lineage: Bacteria
Description: partial 16S ribosomal RNA
Rfam family: Bacterial small subunit ribosomal RNA
Source: RNAcentral